AGUUGCUGGUGAACGCAGCGGGCCAGGCAGCAUCUCUAGGAAGAGGUGCAGUCGACGUUUCGGGCCGAGACCCUUCGUCAGGACUAACUGAAGGAAGAGCCAAGUUGCUAGCUUGAUGCUCAACCCUGCAGAGAUGGAAAGCGUGCAAGGAGCCAGCCGGAUUUGAAGCCGGGACCAAUUGCCUCGAAGCCAGGGGACCGUGCACAAUCCUGAUUUGAUGGAGACAGAUGUGAGUGCACAGUGGAACAUCUGGAAAACUUCUGAAAUGUCUGCUUUGCUACCGCUGCUACUGUGUGGUAACCGGAAUCUCUGGAGCUGAAGGCCCCGAAAUCCUCAGCUUUGUGUGUGUCAGCGGCCGGGGCGAGGUCGAAGGCGUUUGGCAGAGGAUGGCACUCAGGAGGCUGUAUCGGAGAGGCUGCUCGGAAGCUCGGAGUUUUCGGAUGGAUGGACUCAGGGUCGGCUGGGGUUGGCUGCUUCCAAGGUAUCGGCAAGUGGACGGUGCCUGGAGGUUUAUGGCAGGGGGUUUCUCCCUUUUGCCGCCUGCUAUCGGGGACUUGGAAGUUGAUCGACUCGGGACUUUGAGAACUUUUUUUUACUGUGCCUAUGGUCUGUUCUUUAUCAAAUUAUGGUAUUGCUUUGCACUGCUGUAACUAUAUGUUAUAAUUAUGUGGUUUUGACAGUGGUAGUCUUUGGUCUGUCUUGUUUUCUGUGCUAUCACUCCAGAGAAACACUGUAUCAUUUCUUAAUGCAUGUGUGCAUUUCUAAAUGACAAUAAAAGAGGACUGAGUGUUCUCAUAAUCUAAGUCAUCUCAUGAGCAUUCUACAAAUUCUCUCUCUAGAGAUACAGCACCAACCUAAUUUUCCCAAUCUAUCUGCAUAUUGAAAUCCCCCAUGACUAUCAUAACAUUGACCUUCUGACAUGUUUUCUAUCUAGUAUUGUAAUUUGUAACCCACAUCCUAACUACUGUUAGGAGGCCUGUGUAUAACUUCCACCAGUGUCUUUUUAACCUUGCAGUUUCUUAACUCUACCCAUAGAACCAUAGAACCAUAGAAACUACAGCACAGAAACAGGCCCUUUGGCCCUUCUUGGCUGUGCCGAACCAUUUUCUGCCUAGUCCCACUGACCUGCACACGAACCAUAUCCCUCCAUACACCUCCCAUCCAUGUAUCUGUCCAAUUGAUUCUUAAAUGUUGAAAAAGAACCUGCAUUUACCACCUCGUCUGGCAGCUCAUUCCAUACUCCCACCACUCUCUUUGUGAAGAAGCCCCCACUAAUGUUCCCUUUAAACUUUUCCCCCCUCACCCUUAACCCAUGUCCUCUGGUUUUUUUCUCCCC
Molecule: long non-coding RNA, 1336 nt
Organism: Mobula hypostoma (lesser devil ray)
Lineage: Eukaryota; Metazoa; Chordata; Chondrichthyes; Myliobatiformes; Myliobatidae
Exons: 3
Source: RefSeq, a predicted model, not a curated record